AACCCGAUGGUGUAAUGGUAGCACAAAUGAUGUUGGUUCAUUUAGUCGGAGUUCGAAUCUCUGUGGGGUUGCCA
This 74-nucleotide transfer RNA is filed under the name Lentisphaeria bacterium. RNAcentral's name for it is "tRNA-Gln". It matches the Rfam family "tRNA". Rfam says of the family: Transfer RNA (tRNA) molecules are approximately 80 nucleotides in length. The record is from RNAcentral. Lineage: Bacteria; Pseudomonadati; Lentisphaerota; Lentisphaeria.